Molecule: transfer RNA, 79 nt
Filed under: Ipomoea nil (Japanese morning glory)
Lineage: Eukaryota; Viridiplantae; Streptophyta; Magnoliopsida; Solanales; Convolvulaceae
Rfam family: tRNA
About the family: Transfer RNA (tRNA) molecules are approximately 80 nucleotides in length. Their secondary structure includes four short double-helical elements and three loops (D, anti-codon, and T loops).
Source: Rfam by way of RNAcentral
ACGGUUUUGGCCGAGUGGUCUAAGGCGCCAGAUUUAGGCUCUGGUCUGAAAGGGCGUGGGUUCAAAUCCCACAACCGUC